RNAcentral lists this ribosomal RNA (332 nucleotides) under uncultured eukaryote. Its description in RNAcentral is "partial 18S ribosomal RNA". It matches the Rfam family "Eukaryotic small subunit ribosomal RNA", at positions 1470 to 1796 of the family's 1831-position model. The record is from RNAcentral.
CCCUUAGAUGUCCUGGGCUGCACGCGCGCUACACUGGAAGUUCCGGAUUGAGAUACUACCUUGUCCGAAAUGGUCCGGGUAAUCACCUAAAAGCUUGUCAUAAUUGGAAUGGAUUAUUGUAACUAGUAAUCCUGAACGAGGAAUUCCUAGUAAGUCCCAGUCAACAGCUGGUACUGAUUACGUCCCUGCCCUUUGUACACACCGCCCGUCGCUACUACUGAUUGGACGUUUAAGCAAGAUUUUUAAACACUGACAGUGUGUAGUUCACGCUAUACUACAGUGAGAAGAAGAAGAUCGAGCUUACUUGUCUAGAGGAAGUAAAAGUCGUAACA